This 31-nucleotide non-coding RNA is filed under the name Bombyx mori (domestic silkworm). The record is from RNAcentral. Lineage: Eukaryota; Metazoa; Arthropoda; Insecta; Lepidoptera; Bombycidae.
UCUAAUAGGUUCUGAACCACGGUGUGGUGAC